AGGAUAUGCCCCUUUACAGGCCUCAUUUCCCCCCUGUACCCACCCAGGGUUGAGAUUGGAUGACCUCUCUGACUUCCCUCAACUUUCACCUUAGCUCUGCCCUCAAGGAGCUUAUAAUCUACUUGAGGAAACAGGGGAUCUCUCUUAAUUGAUGCAAUGAAUGCUUAUUGAAUGCUGCUAUGUGUGCAAGUUCGAAUAUAUAAAUAACAUGAUCUCCUCCCUCUAGAAGUUCACCAUCCAAACAAGAGUCCAAAGUGGGAAGUGGCUGUUGCUGUGAAGGAGAUGGAGGAUUCUCUGCACAUUCCAGGAAAAGAAGACACAUUUGUGCAGCUGCAGGAGCGGUUCGGCCUGCCUGCGACAACAGGAGCUGGUGGAGGUAACACUAUGUGAUUUCCAAGGCAAGAUCAUACAAAUGCCAUGGACUUCUGCUGUGCUCUCCUGGGAUGCUAGCCCAAGCCAGCUUGUGUGGAGCGACCAGAUGAAGAGGCCAUGUGUAGGAGUUCUGGCUGACGGCCAGUCUCAGCUGUUAGACCUUAUGUGAGCGAGGAAGCCUCCAGAUGAUUCCAGCCCUGGCUGCCAAGUCCCCCAGCCUUCCAGUCUUCCUGGCUGAGAAGUGGAGACUACUCGCCUCUCUUUGCCUUGUCUGAGUUCCUAACCCCCCAGAACCCAGGAAUGUACUAAAGUGAUCAUUUUCCAUCACUAAGGCUUGAUGGGGUUUAUUUGGCAACAACCAGAGUGGAAGGGAACUUGCAGAGGUGUGGGCAGGGUACAGG
Molecule: long non-coding RNA, 773 nt
Filed under: Canis lupus familiaris (dog)
Lineage: Eukaryota; Metazoa; Chordata; Mammalia; Carnivora; Canidae
Description: lncRNA (ENSCAFG00845010947.1)
Source: RNAcentral